RNAcentral lists this ribosomal RNA (445 nucleotides) under uncultured bacterium. Its description in RNAcentral is "partial 16S ribosomal RNA". It matches the Rfam family "Bacterial small subunit ribosomal RNA", at positions 354 to 796 of the family's 1533-position model. The record is from RNAcentral.
GUGAGGAAUAUUGCGCAAUGGAGGCAACUCUGACGCAGCCAUGCCGCGUGCAGGAAGAAGGCGCUACGCGUUGUAAACUGCUUUUAACCGGGAAGAAACCCCAGGACGUGUCCUGGGUUGACGGUACCGGAGGAAUAAGCACCGGCUAACUUCGUGCCAGCAGCCGCGGUAAUACGAAGGGUGCAAGCGUUAUCCGGAUUCAUUGGGUUUAAAGGGUGCGUAGGCGGAGCGUUAAGUCAGUGGUGAAAUCCUGCAGCUUAACUGUAGACUUGCCAUUGAUACUGGCGCUCUUGAGUGCGCUUGAAGUGGGCGGAAUGUGCCGUGUAGCGGUGAAAUGCUUAGAUAUGACACAGAACACCAAUUGCGAAGGCAGCUCACUAAGGCGAUACUGACGCUGAGGCACGAAAGCGUGGGGAUCGAACAGGAUUAGAUACCCCUGUAGUCC